This 768-nucleotide long non-coding RNA is filed under the name Anser brachyrhynchus (Pink-footed goose). RNAcentral's name for it is "lncRNA (ENSABRG00000006724.1)". The record is from RNAcentral. Lineage: Eukaryota; Metazoa; Chordata; Aves; Anseriformes; Anatidae.
CCUGAAGCCCUGCUGACAUUUCAAAGGGCCUGAGUGAUGCUUUGCUGAUGGCUCGUUGUGUGCUGAGCAUGCUGCAGAGGUCUGCAGGAAGGGCUGCUGUUCCCUGGGGCUGCUCUGUGGAUCCAGAUGCCUGUACUCAGGAUGUGAGACAAAAUCUUGAAAACCUGGACAUCUCUGCCAAGCACCUUGCCUUCAGUUCAGGAUGGUGAUGCCAGCGAGAACCGCAGCAGCAGCACACCCCAAGCAGCAUCCUUGCUUCAGCCCAGGGGCUACGGCUGUUCCUUAUCUAACAUUUGAGCAGCAGAUGGAGCACAGGACCAGACAAAAGCUCACAGGAUCACUGUGCUCAUAAAGAAGGAGAAGGAGGGGAGCGCAGCAAUGGUUUUGCUGUUCGGCAUUGCAGCCCGGAGAGGACCGUGUGUUCUUAGCCCUGCCAGCUUCACGUGUCAGUGCUUCCCCUUAGUGUGUGAAGUGCCCUCUGAGUUCCCCUCUUCCUUGGACAAACAUCCACAUCAGAAGAAAAUGAGCCAAAAUGGGCACCAGCCCAAGUGCACCCUGUGUCCUUCCUGCUUUAAAGCAGCUUCUUUGUGCGAAGAGCUUCUGCAGAAGGAAAAAAAUAUUGCUUCGACUUUCAGGUAUUUUAAAGCACUUCACAAAGUAAUGAUAUGUUAUUAAACAGUGAUAGAGAAGAGAUUACCUUUCUAAUAAGGACCCCCGGGAAAACAAAUCAUUUGAACGCUGGAUUUCAUAUUCUUGGACUUCUUUUCC